RNAcentral lists this long non-coding RNA (763 nucleotides) under Olea europaea subsp. europaea. The record is from RNAcentral. Lineage: Eukaryota; Viridiplantae; Streptophyta; Magnoliopsida; Lamiales; Oleaceae.
ACCAUUGUUUAUGAAUGCAGGUACGACAACAUCGUCAUACGAUUGAUUGGUCUGGCAGUUUUUGCUUUUGCUACAGCUUUUAUACUAUUAAUGAUGGAAAGUCUUAGUGCUUUCCUGCACGCAUUGCGUCUCCAUUGGGUUGAAUUUCAAAACAAGUUCUACAAUGGCGAUGGCUAUAAAUUUAAGCCCUUUUCAUUUGCUUUAUUAACUGAUGAUGAUGAUUAGUGUCUUUUCGUUACUCCAUAUUCCUGAAAUUUUGCAAAAGUAGCACAGGGAAAAUGAUAAUUUUUGGUGGCAAAUGAGCCUCGAGAUUUUUUCGCUUCUUCUCGUUAGCAUGGAAUUGUAAAAUUCCUUGCUGAAGAUUCUUUAGAUGCAAUGGUAUUCUGCUGAGAUUAGCCAAAGAAUUUGUAAUUCUUUUUAUAAUCUUAGGAUGGAGGAGUUGUAAAGUUGGUGACCAAGUACUUUUUGUCUUUAUUUCGAGGCCCAUUUGCACAAAUCUAUGUUUAGUGUAGAUUAUUCUUCUGUAAUAAUGAAUCAUAUUCUUAUAGAUUUCUGAAAGUAGUUUGUUUGUAAAAGUAGUUGAGCUCAAUUCUUUAUUAGUGCUGGAUUUUUAAUUGAAUUCCAGCAGUAUCCUCGUACAUUGAUUGCUCUAACUUAAGCAGUUAGACAUUACAAAGUACUCUGUUUUUUAUUCCUUUUUAGGGUUUUUAAUUCAUCUGUUGAAUGUCAUAUAAGAAAGUUGAUUUGACGAUAUUAAUUGGAC